AGCAGCCGCGGUAAUUCCAGCUCCAAUAGCGUAUAUUAAAGUUGUUGCAGUUAAAAAGCUCGUAGUUGAAUUUUAGGUCUGGCCGGGUGGUCCGCCUCCAGGUGAGUACUGUCCGUUGUCGGGUUUAUCCUUCUGGUGAGUCGGCAUGUCCUUUAUUGAAUGUGCUGGGGAACCAGGACCAUUACCUUGAAAAAAUUAGAGUGUUCAAAGCAGGCAUUUGCUCGAAUACAUUAGCAUGGAAUAAUAAAAUAGGACGCGUGAUUCUAUUUUGUGGUUUCUAGAACCGCCGUAAUGAUUAAUAGGGACAGUCGGGGGCAUUAGUAUUCAAUUGUCAGAGGUGAAAUUCUUAGAUUUAUUGAAGACUAACUUCUGCGAAAGCAUUUGCCAAGGAUGUUUUC
RNAcentral lists this ribosomal RNA (398 nucleotides) under uncultured Glomeromycotina. Its description in RNAcentral is "bacterial SSU rRNA". It matches the Rfam family "Eukaryotic small subunit ribosomal RNA", at positions 569 to 971 of the family's 1831-position model. Lineage: Eukaryota; Fungi; Glomeromycota. The record is from RNAcentral.